CCUACGGGUGGCUGCAGUGGGGAAUAUUGGACAAUGGGCGAAAGCCUGAUUCAGCCAUGCCGCGUGUGUGAAGAAGGCCUUCGGGUUGUAAAGCACUUUCAGUGGGGAAGAAAGCCUUGGGGCUAAUACCCUCGAGGAAGGACAUCACCCACAGAAGAAGCACCGGCUAACUCCGUGCCAGCAGCCGCGGUAAUACGGAGGGUGCGAGCGUUAAUCGGAAUUACUGGGCGUAAAGCGCGCGUAGGCGGUCUGAUAAGCCGGUUGUGAAAGCCCCGGGCUCAACCUGGGAACGGCAUCCGGAACUGUCAGGCUAGAGUGCAGGAGAGGAAGGUAGAAUUCCCGGUGUAGCGGUGAAAUGCGUAGAGAUCGGGAGGAAUACCAGUGGCGAAGGCGGCCUUCUGGACUGACACUGACGCUGAGGUGCGAAAGCAUGGGUAGCAAACAGGAUUAGAUACCCCUGUAGUC
RNAcentral lists this ribosomal RNA (465 nucleotides) under Vreelandella stevensii. RNAcentral's name for it is "partial 16S ribosomal RNA". It matches the Rfam family "Bacterial small subunit ribosomal RNA", at positions 338 to 795 of the family's 1533-position model. The record is from RNAcentral. Lineage: Bacteria; Pseudomonadati; Pseudomonadota; Gammaproteobacteria; Oceanospirillales; Halomonadaceae.